UUGAACCCGGGAGGCAGAGGUUGCAGUGAGUGGAGAUCACGCCACUGCACUCCAGCCUGGCGACAGAGCAAGACUCCAUCUCAAAAAAAAAAAAAAUUAGCUGGGCCUCAGGAGGCUGAGGCAGGAGAAUCACUUGAACCCGGAAGGAGGAGGUUGCAGUGAGCCGAGAUCGCGACACUGCACUACAGCCUGGGUGACACAGUAACUCCAUCUCAAAAAAAAAAAAAAAAAACUCCAAAACUCCAGUAAGGUGUUUGGAGGAAGGAGGGGUGGGUGUGCUGAGAUGCAGAGGAAGGAUGGUGGCUGUGCUGGGAUGGAGAGGAUGAAUGUGCCCUCACCAGGCUCAGGGGAGAGAGGGUCCUCGUGUUCCACAGCAGUCACGAUGUGCCAAGGCCCUGUGCCAGGAGCAGAGCACACGGCACGUUGAGAGAACAAAAGCCCCAUGGCCAGGCCGGGAGAGCAGGGCUGUGGGGCAAGAGGGCCGACUGCCAGGCUGCCGGUGUGUCUGGCUUUCAGAAUCCGGGUCAUUGAAAGGCUUUUUACCUUUCCUUCUGGGCUCGAAAUUACUUGCCUUACCCAGGCCCCGUCACCCACACAGUGGUCAUCGUGAUUAUUCCUGCCGGUAGGGUGUCGUCGCAUUGAGGAAUCGCAGUUCUUUGCUGCCUCCCUCCCUGUGGACCCCAGGCUUUCGCCCUCACUAGAGCUCCUUAGGCCUGGGCCACUCAGCGUCCUGUACAGUCCGGCUGCAGUAGCCCUUUGCACCGUGAGGGUCUCUGCUUAACACAGGCCCUGGAAGCUUCUGCCUUUGCAUAAGAAGUGUGUGCUCUCAAAUCGUCGGUGCUGAAGGAGACAUUGAAACGGCAGCUUUUCUGAAAAGCAAGGCACCUGUGCAGUGGCCGAGGAUGGCUGUGGGAGCCUCGCUCCGGACCCCAUGCCUGCCUCAGCCGAGUUGGUCUCCCUCAUCCUGUUCCCGCUGUUCACACCCCCACGCUAAGCUGAUGAGGAAGCCUCACGGCCCACCCAGGGAAUCCAGGGCCUGUGCUCAGCUGCUGCUGCUCUGCCCCCUGGCGGCCCCUCCGUGUCCCUGCAAGGGAGGCAGCUGGCAGGCAGCCCCGUGAGCUGGGUUGGGUCCCACAAGUCUCAGUUCAGUGUCAUUUCUGACUUUUCUUGACUUUCUUUCAGGCUAAGUCCCAUCAGCCAUGGAAACACAAUUGCGCUCUUCUUCCGGUCACUGUUGCCAAACUAUACCAUGGAGGGGGAGAGGCCCGAGGAAGGAGUGGCUGGGGGUCUGAACCGCAACCAGGGCCUGAACAGGCUGAUGCUGGCUGUGCGCGACAUGAUGGCCAACUUCCACCUCAACGACCUGGAGGCGCCGCACGAGGACGACGCUGAGGGGGAGGGGGAGUGGGACUGAGCGUCCGCAGAGGUGACUGAAAAGCCGUACGAUGAUGUUUCUGAUUUCUGUGCUGGUCGAAAUCGGCCAGUUCCCUGAAGUAGGGAAGCUGACUGUGUCACUCCCUGGUCCACUGUUUCUCCUAUAAACGUAAAUGGGUC
This 1554-nucleotide small RNA is filed under the name Pongo abelii (Sumatran orangutan). Its description in RNAcentral is "retained intron". Lineage: Eukaryota; Metazoa; Chordata; Mammalia; Primates; Hominidae. The record is from RNAcentral.